AUAAUGGAUCUUCGAAUGUUAAUCUACCGAAAAUAGAGAAAAUACAGAUCUAGUAGGGGAAUAUGAGAACUUCGAAUGUUAAUUCACUAAUAAAUAGAGGAUCUAUAGAAAAACAAAGGAUCUGCGAAUCUACCAGAAAAUAAAGAAUCUUCAGAUGUUGAUUCAUCAGAAAACAGAGGUCAAUAAAUCGACAAUAGGGAUUUUCACAGCUUUUAGACAAGGCAAUGACGACCAUAGCAAAGACGAAAGAAAUAGCCACAACAGAUUAGGUGAUCGGAGGUUCUGAUACUAUAUUAAAAUAUUUGUAGAAGAAGAGAGAAAUAAAAAAAGAGAGAAAAAUAAUUUUAUUUCUCCAUUCCAUAUAUUCGAUACAUCUCGGGCUUAUAUAUACUUGUCUACAGACUCCAUGCAA
RNAcentral lists this long non-coding RNA (412 nucleotides) under Phoenix dactylifera (date palm). RNAcentral describes it as "long non-coding RNA (PDAC_LNC001754)". Lineage: Eukaryota; Viridiplantae; Streptophyta; Magnoliopsida; Arecales; Arecaceae. The record is from RNAcentral.